Molecule: small RNA, 2947 nt
Filed under: Pan troglodytes (chimpanzee)
Lineage: Eukaryota; Metazoa; Chordata; Mammalia; Primates; Hominidae
Description: retained intron
Source: RNAcentral
UUUAAUUCAGAUUGUGGAUAGUUUGUAGUCCUUUGAUUUUGCAAAUGAAAUUAAAAUGCCUUUGUUUAGAUGUUAGGAUUAAGUAUAGUAGUGCUCUCUCCAUUGUGUCUUAAUUUUUUUUUAACUCACUUGUGGCAGGUCUUUAUUGAAUAAAGGAGGAAUAAACCUAGACAGGGAGUUAGAAAUGAAAGACAUUUCAAGACAGUUCAAGGGUUAUGUUGGUGACACUUCUUGUCUUCCAGACAGUUUUGAAAGCACAGAUCUUGCCUCUUGUGCUUGUUAAAAAAUCUGUGAUACUUCUCUGAAGAUUUUAUAAUUAAAUAAGUGAACCAUUACCCUGGCCUUUUAUAAAAGUGCUGCCCUAUUUGAAGUAUUGGGUUUUUUCUCAUGAUGAGCUUUGUUAGACUUGGUACUGAAAAAAUCAGUAGUUUUUUUCCUUCUAUUUUAAAGGCAAAGAAAUACUUGCUUCAGCUAGGCAUGGUGGCUCAUGCCUGUAAUUGGGAGGCUGAGGUGGGUGGAUCACCUGACGUCAGGAAUUGGAGACCAGCCUGGCCAACAUGGUGAAACCCCAUCUCUACUAAAAAUACAAAAAGUUAGCCAGGCGUGAUAGCGGGUGCCUGUAAUCCCAGCUGCUCGGGAGGCUGAAGCAAGAGAAUUGUUUGAACCUGGGAGUGGGAGGUUGCAGUGAGCCGAGGUCGUGCCAUUGCACUCCAGCCUGGCCAACAAGAGCGAGACUCUGUCUAAAAAAAAAGAAAUACUUGCUUUCUAUGUAGUUUUUUAACUUAGGUCAGUGCCAUAGGACUGACCAAAUCAUAAAUUAAGGAUGCUGUUGGUAUUCAAAAGUUUUUACUCAUUACCCUUACUCAGUUUGCAGCUGCAAUGAUCUGUACUUAACCUGCUUUUACAUAUUAUGCUUCCUUGACAAUGGGAGGAAUUUUAAUGGUUAACUUGCAGAAUAUGACAGAUACUUGUCUUAAUAUCAUUCUUCCUACCAUAAUCUAAUUCAAAACUAUCCAGUAGAACUUUCUGAAAUGAUUGGAAUGUUUUUUAUCUGUGCUGUCCAGUGUGGAAGCCAGUAGCCACAUGUGGCUGUUGAGCACUUGCAGUGUCACUAAUGCGUUUGAGGGACUGAAUUGUUAAUUUUUAAAAAUGUAUUGAUUUUAAUUAAGUUUAACAUUGUUUUGGACAGCACAGAUUAGCCUUUUAGAGUACCUUCUUGCUGAGUACUAGCAGUGUAUAGGUUUCCCCAUGAAAAGGACCUACAUUUUUGUUGGUUAAGAGGUUAUUAAAUGUGCUUUGCCAAAGAUAUUACCUUGUCAUUUCUUCCAGCUUAUUAGUUCCGUGGGUUUCUUGGAGUACUGUUAAAUCCUUUUUACAGAUAUAUAUAUACACAACUACUGAAGAGACUGUUUAUUUGGGGAGUUAUUCACUUUUAUAUUUAAGUCUUAGGCUUAAUAUGAUAAAAUAUCUCUCAGUUGCUGUGAAUAAUGGUCUAUAGAAGCUGUUCAUUGAGAAAAUGAUUAUUCUCGAGUUUCUGUUGAUUUUAAACCUUUUUUUGUCUGUCUCUUUCACUAGACUGUAAGCUUCUUCAGAUCAGGGGACAUGUCUUGACAGUCUUUGUAUUCCUGUUGUUUAGCAUAGUACUGGCACAUCAUAGGUGUGCAAGAUAAGAAAAUGAGAUUGGAAGAAUUUAUGCUACUUGCUGCGCCUAACAAAUGUGGAUGUCUGUAUUAUACUGAUACUAUAUUUUCAAUAGUUAGCAAAGAAGGCCAUUUAAUAUUUUAAUACUGAAAAGCAGAAUUGUGCUCAUUUUAUUCAAUACUUAUCAUAUACCAUACACUAGAUAGUAGGUGGAUGUAAAGAUGCAGUUCCUGCUCUCAAAGAGGAUUAUGACCUAGAAAAGGUUACAGAUUGGAUUGAGAUAACUUUAUAGGCCUGAACAAUACAGAAAAGAUUUCUAAAUCAUUGAAGACUUCAGGGAGGAAAAGAGAUUGAAUGCGUCUGUCAUUUUUAUCAUUCCCGUUACUUUGAACAAUAGUGUAUGUAAGUGCAAAAAAAAAGAAAAAGUUGCUGAUCAUUGUGGUGAGAGGAAUGUAAAAUAUGAGUAUUUUUCUUGCUGCUAGGUUUAGUUAUAUUGUGCUGCUUAUUCUUAAUUCUAGUCCUAACAAAUUUGAUUUCAAAAGCACAUCUGUGGUCAACCAACUUCAUUGUUAAUAUUUGUUUUAUUCAUAUUAAGUGACAAUGUAAGAAUAUUCAUGUUAAGUGGUACUGCAGAUUUUAUAAAAAGGAGAGGAUCCAAAAAUAAAAAAGUAUUUUGCUGAUUUCCAACUCCCAUCCCUCUUUUUCAGGAACUGCAAGCACAUGUUGACCAGAUAACUGAAAUGGCAGCAGUAAUGAGGAAAGCCAUUGAAAUUGACGAGCAACAGGGUUGCAAGGAACAAGAACGAAUAUUUCAACUUGAACAAGAAAACAAAGGCUUGAGAGAGAUCCUUCAAAUAACUCGAGAAUCAUUUUUGAACCUAAGGAAAGAUGAUGCGUCGGAAAGUACUUCUUUGUCAGCAUUAGUGACCAACAGUGAUUUGAGUCUGAGGAAGAGCUGAAGAGUUUCUGAGUCUGUGAGCUUCUUACAUGGCUCCAAAUGGUCAGAUAAGUGAAUGAAUGAAUGGACAGAAAAUUCAAUCCUUAAUUUUUUUCUCUGUAAAUAUGUACAGUGCACGGGCUAUGAGAUAGCAACAAAAAAUGCAUAGUAAAUGGUCAUAGACUUUAUUCCAAAACAUAAUUGGAAAAUAGAAACUGAGCCAUUGCCAAAUGGUAAAGAAAUGAAAAGUUUUCACAGUGACUACUGAAUAUACCAAGAGCUUUUGGCAGUACUGCUGGCUUUCUGGGUGAUUAAUUAGGUAAACUUGAAUAUUCCCAAUAAAUGUUUGAGAAUGCAUAAAAUUAUACC